Molecule: ribosomal RNA, 460 nt
Filed under: uncultured bacterium
Lineage: Bacteria
Description: partial 16S ribosomal RNA
Rfam family: Bacterial small subunit ribosomal RNA
Source: RNAcentral
CCUACGGGAGGCUGCAGUGAGGAAUAUUGGUCAAUGGGCGCGAGCCUGAACCAGCCAAGUCGCGUGAAGGAUGACUGCCCUACGGGUUGUAAACUUCUUUUAUAAAGGAAUAAAGUGAGGCACGUGUGCCCUUUUGUAUGUACCUUAUGAAUAAGGACCGGCCAACCCCGUGCCAGCAGCCGCGGUAAUACGGAGGAUCCGGGGGUUUUCCGGUUUUAUUGGGGUUAAAGGGAGCGUAGAUGGGUUGUUAAGUAGGUUGUGAAAGUUUGCGGCUCAACCGUAAAAUUGCAAUUGAUACUGGCAGUCUUGAGUACAGUUGAGGUAGGCGGAAUUCGUGGUGUAGCGGUGAAAUGCUUAGAUAUCACGAAGAACUCCGAUUGCGAAGGCAGCUUACUGGACUGCAACUGACGUUGAUGCUCGAAAGUGUGGGUAUCAAACAGGAUUAGAUACCCCUGUAGUC